CGGCUUCACCAGGGGUGUCCCGACAAGGGGCUGAGAUACUGCUGAGCCGAAAGGCAGCGCAGGGACCCUACGAACCUGAUCCAGUUCACACUGGCGUAGGGACGGUGCGGAUGCCUUUCG
RNAcentral lists this non-coding RNA (120 nucleotides) under Devosia sp. RNAcentral's name for it is "TPP sequence". It matches the Rfam family "TPP riboswitch aptamer (THI element)". Rfam says of the family: Vitamin B(1) in its active form thiamin pyrophosphate (TPP) is an essential coenzyme that is synthesised by coupling of pyrimidine and thiazole moieties in bacteria. The previously detected thiamin-regulatory element, thi box was extended, resulting in a new, highly conserved RNA secondary structure, the THI element, which is widely distributed in eubacteria and also occurs in some archaea. Lineage: Bacteria; Pseudomonadati; Pseudomonadota; Alphaproteobacteria; Hyphomicrobiales; Devosiaceae. The record is from RNAcentral.